AUACGGAGGGUGCAAGCGUUACUCGGGAUCACUGGGCGUAAAGCGCGCGCAGGCGGCUAUUUAAGUUGGAUGUGAAAGCCUACGGCUCAACCGUAGAACUGCAUCCAAAACUAUUUAGCUAGAGUGUGGGAGAGGAAGAUGGAAUUAGUUGUGCAGGGGUAAAAUCCGUAGAGAUAACUAGGAAUACCAAAAGCGAAGGCAAUCUUCUGGAACACUACUGACGCUGAGGCGCGAAAGCGUGGGGAGCAAACGGGAUUAGAUACCCCAGUAGUCC
Molecule: ribosomal RNA, 274 nt
Filed under: uncultured bacterium
Lineage: Bacteria
Description: partial 16S ribosomal RNA
Rfam family: Bacterial small subunit ribosomal RNA
Source: RNAcentral